RNAcentral lists this long non-coding RNA (5245 nucleotides) under Bemisia tabaci. RNAcentral describes it as "lncRNA ENSASIAIIG001089". Lineage: Eukaryota; Metazoa; Arthropoda; Insecta; Hemiptera; Aleyrodidae. The record is from RNAcentral.
UUAUUGAUUUUCAAACUAAAUCGGCAUCGACGUUUGAAUGAACGGCACCUACCUCACCCAUCAUCAGUGUCGAGAGUUAGGUACAGGUUGAUCGGCUGUCAGUGCGACAUUGAUGCUGUGAGAUAGAUGACGCCACGCCACGGAGUGCAUCACACAAACGAGGGAGCUCUAUCGUCAGUCGUCGCAAGACGGGAACAUCUGUCGGCCUUGGGAUCAACAAAAAGUAGACCGCAAGUAAUUAGUGUUGUGGAUUCCUCCCGUUACGUUGGACCCCGGAUCAAUCGAUUUCCCCGUGUCCCUGAUUUUUUCCCCGGAAAAUGCAACCGAACGGACUCCAGUGUUUCGUCAUCGCCGCUGUCGUUGCUCUGUGUAAGGUAGCUUCGCCGAGCCCGACGAGGCUCUCGAUCCGCGGCCUCUUCGACUCCUUCCUGCCGACCCCGGCGACUAGCCCGCCGCCGGCGGCGGCGGCUCCAGUCGUGGCUGUGGUGGCCGCGGCCCCGGUCAACGCAUCCGCCUCCAUCUCGACAGGCUCGACAUCUACCUCGACGCCCUCGCUCUUCUCCUCCAUGUCCGGGUGGUUCGCGCCGGUGGUGGCAGCGGUGAGCCCGGAGGAGCUGGCGCGGCGCCGGGAGGAGGCGCUGCGGGCGCAGCGCGAGGAGGAGAAGCGGCGCAAGAUCGAGGAGAUCCGGCGCGUAGUCCUCAAGAUCCCGGGCGUGGAGCUCGCCGACCAGCUGACCCGCAAGACCGCCUCCGCCAUCGGACUCGGCCUCGGCUACAGCACCGCCCGCGCCCAGGCCCUCGUCAACGACUUCUACAACCGCCUCCGCGCCAAAGGCCAGCCCGCACCCGCCCCCUAGGACCCAGUCAUCGCCGCAUUCGAAACUCAACUUCCCGCCGGCCCAGCAGACUCAUUUGGACGUUUUUAUGCAAAAUGGACCGCGUUAAACAGAAAGGAACCAAGCCACAUCAGCUAUGGAGAUGUUGCAUGUGUGAGGGAUUUGCGAUUUGACCAUUGAUUCUUAGGUAAAAGUUCGCGAGAAACACGAUGGUGCCACUGGUUUUCUCUGAAAUCAACUCCCAAGCUCAAAAAAGCUCUCAAAGUGAGGCCAAAAUGGAGGGGAUAUCCCACCCUACCCUGAGAGUCCACCUUUACAUCAAGACAAACUCUCCAUGCAAAGAUAGGGAGCAAAUACAUUGGCAGGGUUGUCAUUUUAUUUGGGGACUCCAAAACUGAAAACACGGCAUCACUGCUAAUGUAUUUGCUCCCUAUCUUUGCAUGGAGAGUUUGUUUUGAUGUAGAGGUGGACUCUCAGGGUAGGGCGGGAUAUCCCCUCCAUUUUGGCGUCACUUUGAGAGCUUUUUUUGAGCUUCGGAGUUGAUUUCAGAGAAAACCAGUGGCACCAUCGUGUUUCUCGCGAACUUUUACAUAAGAAUCAAUGGUCAAAUCGCAAAUUCCUCACAUAUGCAACAUCUCCAUUGCCAAAUUUAAUCGGGCAAGUUAAUUUUUCACACGAAAACGGUUGUAGGGAUUUUCGUACAAAUUUCAGUGGAAAUUCUCCAUGGCACGAAGCAAAUUCCUUAAAAUUUUCAAAGAAAUCCGAACGAACGUUCUCUCGUAAAAAAAAUUAAUUGCCCAGUUAAACUUGGCAAUAGCUGAUGUGGCUUGGUUCCUUUCUGUUAAACUCGGUCCAAAUGGUAAUGAGUGCAAGUGGAAAGAUGGGGUGUGCUCGUUAGUGGUCGGGCCAUAAGAAUGAAUGGGAAAUGUACAGAGACAGUGACGAAACCGACGCACAGUGGAUCGAAUCAAUAAGGGGCGUCGCACAUGAAAUUUUUGACUAAAACUGCAAAUUUUGAUGUUGACUCCGUCACAUGAUAAAUUUUACGGGGUGCUGUUUGAAGAAAAUUCACUAGGUAUAACCAAAAGAACCACUCUUCAAACCUCACAGUUGUGUAUUAACUGAGUUAUAAGCGUUUAAAGUUUCCAAAUUUUGUCCGACCUCCCCUAUUGACUCGAUCCAGUGUGCGCCGCCGCACUUCUCCUGUGUGAGCCCGACUAACUCAUGAGCCCUGUCCACAAGGCUCUUUUCACAUGCCCACGGCUCACGAAUUACCGCUCAGUCCCUUUUGAUUUAAUGUCAAAUCCCGCUUUUCCAUUUCGCCAGAAGGAAUCAUGUCCACUUUUACAGUGUUUGUUAAGCAACUCGCCAUGAGCACACCCCAUCUCUCCCACACGUAUCUAGUUCUGUUAAGCGGGAAUACACCCAAUUUUCCCCCUCUUAAUCCUGAUUUUCAUUGAUUGUAACCACCCUGGUAGAAGUGAAUAGAUUAAAAUAAUGCAUCAAAAUUUGAUGGAGCUUACCUUAGUUGACGGCGUCGACAGAACGUGUGUGCGAUCCUCUUUCGCCGUGCUCGGGUGUAGGACUACACCUCCGUAACUAAGACAGAUGUUAAGGGAUUCAUUUAAAAGAUAAUUGAACGUCUAUCAAUCGUAGUCAUUGAAAAUGAUCGAAUCGAUUUCUGGUAAAGAGGCGUUUAAGUCGCCAAAAUCUUUUACAGGUGCUGCAAAAACUGAUUUUCUCGUCAAGCGAGAUGGUUAAAACUUUUUUAGUGUGAGAAUGGAUAAACAUUUGCUUGAAAGUUAGAAAACAUUUUUUUUGAUUCGAAAAGUUUUAGUACCCUUUUGGUACUUUGAAGGUAGUUUGAAAGUUUUACGAUUUACGCCCUUCUUCAUGGAAAUUCGGGAAACGGCGACAUUUUUAAGAGAAAAAAACUAUGUUUCAAUUAUUCUGGAAGAUCUAUCCCUCGUAUUUGUUAUUUUUAUAGAGCAUGGUGGAUGGUGGUAUGGCCUAAUGACAAAGACAAAAAUGCCCAGGCGUUGUUCUUUUUUCCAUAUUAAAUUGAAAUGUCCUCGACAAAUGGACGUGUUUCUAUCAAACGGAACUAUGUGCAUUGAAACAUGAGCCCUGAUACCCAUAAAAAUACACGCAUAACAGGGCUCACGUCAUAAUGCACAUAGGUCCGUUUGACAGAAAUACGUCCAAAUGAGUGGGAACCCGUCGUCAGAAGGACAAAACUACGGGGGAAAACUUAAAAAUUUUGGACUUACGCACUUCUACCAGAGAGCGAUCCAUUUGGCCGUCUAACUACCUAAUCAUUAAAAAAAUAAUUUACUUCUAAGACAGCAAAGAUUCGUGGACAUUUCCUAUGAUAAAGAUGAGAUGAAGAAAUAGUGAUAAAAAUAUAUUUUAGUUCAUGUCAAACGCCAAAAUAUUCAGUCCAGGUAAAAGAAGUUUCCCAUGUAGAAACUAGACCUUGCUUUAGGUAACUAAAAUUAUUGCCUACCAAGUGUUACAUAUAGCACAAUUACAUACAAAAUUAGUGAGAUUAAAGACUCGUAUUCUACCUAAUUCAGUUUUUCCGACCGGCAAUUUUGGUUACCUGGAAUGAAAACUAUGGUGUUACGAACCAAGGUUAGGUCCUGGGAGCAGAACUUUUUUUCCUCUGCGGAAAAUUAUAAACACACACACCCUUAUUACAUCGACGCGUCAUUUUAAAAGCCAGAAAACUAAGUAUUGCGGUGGGAUAUUUUUAUUUUUACUACAGAUUUUGCAAGCACGAUUUCUGAAAAGUCUAUAUAUGAAUUGUUUUGAAAAAACUAAAACCCCUCGGCUUUUUCUGAAUUUAACAGCAGAUAAAUUUCGCAACUUUAGCUUAAAACUCCUCAGCUUUGUAAUGAUGUUUGCACUGAUAGUCCAAUGUAAUACCAUACUACUCUCUAUUACAUUUUAAUAAAACCUUUUUCGCCUGUAAAUACGAAGGAAACGCUACAUUUCUACAUUACAUCUUUAUGAAACCGCCUUUAGCUCUUCAGGAGCCAAGACAUCCUCUAGAGACAGAGGGGCGUAUGAUGGUGAGCAAAGUCCAUUUAAAAAUGCUAAAGUAAAGUUUUUUGUUUCCGCACUUUGUGGAGAAAAUCAUUCAUUCAAAGAAAAUCUUCAAAAUGAAACCUUGCAAUUUUUUUUGAGUUUCCAAAAUAAUCGGUGGCGAGGAGACCUUGCUUCACGGACGAAAAAUCUCGGAUACAGGAAAUACGCCACAUUCUAACGUUGGCAUUUUGAAAAACUGGGAUGCAGUAAGUUCAUGGCAAUAUAGAAAGACGAACAUCAUUUGUGCUCUAUACAAAAAACACGAGCGAAAAAGUAUAGAAAAGGAUACGCAACGAAGUACCGAUACAAGGUUUCGUAAUCGGCAAUAUCUCUCUUCGGAAGUUCCAUUUUGACGCCCGCAAAAACAUCCACCAAGUACUGCAACAGAAUAGAAGUGCGAUUAGAAUAAUCAGUGAUAAGAAUAAAUUAAAACAAUAGACAUAACAUAUACCUGAGCGAGUAUUUUGUGAAAAACGCUUCGCCACGCAUGAAAUAAAAAUAAGCGGCAUUGACUCGAUGAGCUUCCCGUAAAAGAUUGCCUAAAAUCUAUAUUAGGAGAGUGUUGCUAGGUCUGCGACACGUUUUGAUUAGUUCAUCUGCCAAUUUCAGGCCUUUCCAUAAAUCUAAAGGAAUUUUACUUUAAAAAAAAAUAACCGUAAAUAAGAGAUGAAUAAUAGCACGAAGAAAGUGUAGUCUUUAGUAUUUCAGAAAUUUUAAAAAAUUAUCAUCACAUCUACAUCUUAGAUGUCAUUUUAGCUCCUCAAAUUGGAUUUUAGGUGAUCUGGGGAAGCAUAAAACUUGCAGAACGAUCAUAAAGCAACACAGAGAAGCACUGCAGCACAGAGAAUCAGGGAUUGAGGGGUCAUAAUUCUCCCUAAGCACAGGAGGCACCGUGCAUGAGCUAAACUGACAAGUUCUGUUGCAUGCAAGCGACAUUUACGUAAGAUCGCACGAAAAUUACAAUGGGCAUUUGAGUACAACAAAACAAGUCUGAGAUUCACUCUUUGACACGCAAUCCGUUUGGAUUGUAACACGUUGUUCACAAGUUCCACCUUGUAAAUAAUACAAUAAAAUACUAUCUGUUCUAUAUAAAAAAAAUAAAAAAAUAAAAUAAAAAAAAAAAAAAUACGUUGUUCAUAGUUUCCGCGGCCGCAGACAGUUUUUUUUUUUUUUAUUCUUCAUAGACCAGAAUCACCCUCAGAGAGACGCAAAAAAAAACCCAAAUGAACAAAAAAUAGUCUCGUGCGCAAACUGUUGCAAACUUUCCUUACACGUGUGAUACGUCCACUUGAAAGCUUUAGUUUUUGUGACACGAAGAA